CNCCAGUGGCGAAAGCGGCUCUNUGGUCUGUCACUGACGCUGAGGCUCGAAAGCGUGGGUAGCGAACAGGAUUAGAUACCCUGGUAGUCCACGCCGUAAACGAUGAGUGCUAGGUGUUAGGCCCUUUCCGGGGCUUAGUGCCGGAGCUAACGCAAUAAGCACUCCGCCUGGGGAGUACGACCGCAAGGUUGAAACUCAAAGGAAUUGACGGGGGCCCGCACAAGCGGUGGAGCAUGUGGUUUAAUUCGAAGCAACGCGAAGAACCUUACCAGGUCUUGACAUCCCGAUGCUAUUCUUAGAGAUAGGAAGUUACUUCGGUACAUCGGAGACAGGUGGUGCAUGGUUGUCGUCAGCUCGUGUCGUGAGAUGUUGGGUUAAGUCCCGCAACGAGCGCAACCCUUAUUGUUAGUUGCCAUCAUUAAGUUGGGCACUCUAGCGAGACUGCCGGUAAUAAACCGGAGGAAGGUGGGGAUGACGUCAAAUCAUCAUGCCCCUUAUGACCUGGGCUACACACGUGCUACAAUGGUCGGUACAACGAGUUGCGAGCCGGUGACGGCAAGCUAAUCUCUGAAAGCCGAUCUCAGUUCGGAUUGGAGGCUGCAACUCGCCUCCAUGAAGUCGGAAUCGCUAGUAAUCGCGGAUCAGCACGCCGCGGUGAAUACGUUCCCGGGCCUUGUACACACCGCCCGUCACACCACGAGAGUUUGUAACACCCGAA
RNAcentral lists this ribosomal RNA (718 nucleotides) under uncultured bacterium. RNAcentral describes it as "bacterial SSU rRNA". It matches the Rfam family "Bacterial small subunit ribosomal RNA", at positions 707 to 1425 of the family's 1533-position model. The record is from RNAcentral.